GCCUGGACUGCUGCAGCUGGUGGGCUGGCCUGUUGCUUAGGCUGCUGCAAUUGGGGUAGGCCUGUUUUUUUUCUGCAGGUCUUGCUGUUUUUUCUUUUUCUUCUUUUCUGGGCAAGCCUGCUGUUUUGGGCCUGCUGGAGCACGGGUCGGGUCACAGGUUGGUGGAUCGAGUUGCAGCUUGGGUCGGGUCAACACGGGUCGGGUCAACCCGACUGAUUUAAUUUUUUUUCUUUUUCUUUCCUUUUUAUUUUUUCCCUUCUUUCUUUCUUUCUUCUUUCUUUCUUUCUUUCUUCCCCGUUCAGCAGCACCCCCCAUUUGUCGCCGGUGAUGUCUCUCUGCCUGGUGCGACGACCGGAGGGGUGCGCAAGGAGGUCUCUUCUUUCCCUCCCUUUUUCCCCUUUUCUUUUUCUUCUUUGCUCUUUCCUUUUUUUUCUCUUUUGCUUGUUGCUUUUUCUCUUUGUUUUUGUUUUUUUUUUUUUGCGUUUAGGACUCGACGGUGGGAUGACAAUGGUGGUGGCGCGACGAUCAUGGUGGCGGUGGAGGCAAUCGGCUGGAUUUGAGAGCCUCUUUUUCCUUUUCUCCUCUUUAAUGCCUCAAUUUUUGUCCUCAUCCUUCUUGUUUUUAGGUGGCAAUGGAGGUGGAGAGCAUGGCUGAUUGGCGGUGUCAGGCGUGAAGUGCAGUGUACGCCCGGAUGCUGGUUGGGGGCAGUCUUGUCAUGCC
RNAcentral lists this long non-coding RNA (720 nucleotides) under Gossypium raimondii (Peruvian cotton). Its description in RNAcentral is "long non-coding RNA (GRAI_LNC002871)". Lineage: Eukaryota; Viridiplantae; Streptophyta; Magnoliopsida; Malvales; Malvaceae. The record is from RNAcentral.